This 491-nucleotide ribosomal RNA is filed under the name uncultured bacterium. RNAcentral describes it as "partial 16S ribosomal RNA". It matches the Rfam family "Bacterial small subunit ribosomal RNA", at positions 29 to 507 of the family's 1533-position model. The record is from RNAcentral.
GUGAACGCUGGCGGUAGGCCUAACACAUGCCAGUCGAACGGCAGCACAGUAAGAGCUUGCUCUUACGGGUGGCGAGUGGCGGACGGGUGAGGAAUACAUCGGAAUCUACUUUUUCGUGGGGGAUAACGUAGGGAAACUUACGCUAAUACCGCAUACGACCUACGGGUGAAAGCAGGGGAUCUUCGGACCUUGCGCGAUUGAAUGAGCCGAUGUCGGAUUAGCUAGUUGGCGGGGUAAAGGCCCACCAAGGCGACGAUCCGUAGCUGGUCUGAGAGGAUGAUCAGCCACACUGGAACUGAGACACGGUCCAGACUCCUACGGGAGGCAGCAGUGGGGAAUAUUGGACAAUGGGCGCAAGCCUGAUCCAGCCAUACCACGUGGGUGAAGAAGGCCUUCGGGUUGUAAAGCCCUUUUGUUGGGAAAGAAAAGCAGCAGGUUAAUACCCCGCUGUUCUGACGGUACCCAAAGAAUAAGCACCGGCUAACUUCGUG